Molecule: ribosomal RNA, 499 nt
Filed under: uncultured bacterium
Lineage: Bacteria
Description: partial 16S ribosomal RNA
Rfam family: Bacterial small subunit ribosomal RNA
Source: RNAcentral
GAUGAACGCUAGCGGCAGGCCUAAUACAUGCAAGUCGAGGGGCAGCAGGAAUAGCAAUAUUCGCUGGCGACCGGCGCACGGGUGCGUAACACGUAUACAAUCUGCCUUUAACAGGGGGAUAGCCCGGAGAAAUCCGGAUUAAUACCCCAUAACAGUGAUCUUGGCAUCAAGGACACUUAAAAGUUCCGGCGGUUAAAGAUGAGUAUGCGUCUGAUUAGCUAGUUGGUGAGGUAACGGCUCACCAAGGCGACGAUCAGUAGGGGAUCUGAGAGGAUUGACCCCCACACGGAUACUGAGACACGGAUCCGACUCCUACGGGAGGCAGCAGUAAGGAAUAUUGGACAAUGCCCGCAAGGGUGAUCCAGCCAUGCCGCGUGCAGGAAGACGGCCCUAUGGGUUGUAAACUGCUUUUACACCGGAGAAAACCCCACUACGUGUAGUGGGCUGAUAGUAUGGUGAGAAUAAGCAUCGGCUAACUUCGUGCCAGCAGCCGCGGUAA